RNAcentral lists this small nucleolar RNA (83 nucleotides) under Notechis scutatus (mainland tiger snake). RNAcentral describes it as "Small nucleolar RNA SNORD24 (ENSNSUG00000013631.1)". Lineage: Eukaryota; Metazoa; Chordata; Lepidosauria; Squamata; Elapidae. The record is from RNAcentral.
UGCCAUAAUGAUGAUACUUAUUUGCUACUCUUGAGAAAAUAAUGAUGAGAACACUUAACCCACCUUUGUUUCAAACUGAGGCA